Molecule: ribosomal RNA, 227 nt
Filed under: uncultured bacterium
Lineage: Bacteria
Description: partial 16S ribosomal RNA
Rfam family: Bacterial small subunit ribosomal RNA
Source: RNAcentral
ACUCCUACGGGAGGCAGCAGUGGGGAAUAUUGCACAAUGGGGGAAACCCUGAUGCAGCCAUGCCGCGUGUGUGAAGAAGGCCUUCGGGUUGUAAAGCACUUUCAGUAGGGAGGAAGGUAGUGUAGUUAACACCUGCACUAUUGACUGUACCUACAGAAGAAGCACCGGCUAACUCCGUGCCAGCAGCCGCGGUAAUACGGAGGGUGCGAGCGUUAAUCGGAAUUACU